Molecule: small nuclear RNA, 103 nt
Filed under: Procavia capensis (Cape rock hyrax)
Lineage: Eukaryota; Metazoa; Chordata; Mammalia; Hyracoidea; Procaviidae
Source: RNAcentral
GUGCUUGCUUUGGCAGCGCAUAGACUAAAAUUGGAAUGAUACAGGGAAGGUUAGCAUGGCCCCUGUGCAGGGAUGGUACACAAAUUUGAGAAACAUUAUUUUU